AACGUAGGUGGCACGCGUUAUCCGGAUUUACUGGGCGUAAAGGGUGUGCAGGCGGGGGUGUCAGUGGGGUAUGAAAUCUCCCGGCUUAACCGGGAGGGGUUAUGCCAGACUGCAAUUCUAGAGGACGAGAGAGGGAUGCAGAAUUCCAGGUGUAGCGGUGAAAUGCGUAGAUAUCUGGAGGAAUACCGGUGGCGAAGGCGGCAUCCUGGACCGGCAUUGACGCUGAUGAGCGAAAGCUAGGGGAGCAAACGGG
This 253-nucleotide ribosomal RNA is filed under the name uncultured bacterium. RNAcentral's name for it is "partial 16S ribosomal RNA". It matches the Rfam family "Bacterial small subunit ribosomal RNA", at positions 524 to 776 of the family's 1533-position model. The record is from RNAcentral.